UACAGAGGUCUCAAGCGUUGUUCGGAUUCAUUGGGCGUAAAGGGUGCGUAGGCGGCGCGGUAAGUCGGGUGUGAAAUCUCGGAGCUUAACUCCGAAACUGCAUUCGAUACUGCCGUGCUUGAGGACUGGAGAGGAGACUGGAAUUUACGGUGUAGCGGUGAAAUGCGUAGAUAUUGGGAGGAACACCAGUGGCGAAGGCAGCUCGCUGGGACGGUACUGACGCUGAGGCGCGAAAGCGUGGGGAGCGAACAGG
RNAcentral lists this ribosomal RNA (253 nucleotides) under uncultured bacterium. Its description in RNAcentral is "partial 16S ribosomal RNA". It matches the Rfam family "Bacterial small subunit ribosomal RNA", at positions 524 to 776 of the family's 1533-position model. The record is from RNAcentral.